Molecule: transfer RNA, 105 nt
Filed under: Thermochaetoides thermophila DSM 1495
Lineage: Eukaryota; Fungi; Ascomycota; Sordariomycetes; Sordariales; Chaetomiaceae
Description: Chaetomium thermophilum var. thermophilum DSM 1495 tRNA
Rfam family: tRNA
About the family: Transfer RNA (tRNA) molecules are approximately 80 nucleotides in length.
Source: Rfam by way of RNAcentral
GGGAGCUUGGCUCAGUUGGAAGAGCGCAGGUCUCAUACUAUAGUAUGAUCCCAACAACAGUUGGGAGUUAUCCUGAGGUCGUGAGUUCGAGCCUCACAGUUCCCA